UUUGAUCCUGGCUCAGAGCGAACGCUGGCGGCAGGCUUAACACAUGCAAGUCGAGCGGGCGUAGCAAUACGUCAGCGGCAGACGGGUGAGUAACGCGUGGGAACGUACCUUUUGGUUCGGAACAACACAGGGAAACUUGUGCUAAUACCGGAUAAGCCCUUACGGGGAAAGAUUUAUCGCCGAAAGAUCGGCCCGCGUCUGAUUAGCUAGUUGGUGGGGUAACGGCCUACCAAGGCGACGAUCAGUAGCUGGUCUGAGAGGAUGAUCAGCCACAUUGGGACUGAGACACGGCCCAAACUCCUACGGGAGGCAGCAGUGGGGAAUAUUGGACAAUGGGGGCAACCCUGAUCCAGCCAUGCCGCGUGAGUGAUGAAGGCCCUAGGGUUGUAAAGCUCUUUUGUGCGGGAAGAUAAUGACGGUACCGCAAGAAUAAG
RNAcentral lists this ribosomal RNA (434 nucleotides) under denitrifying bacterium W73a. RNAcentral's name for it is "bacterial SSU rRNA". It matches the Rfam family "Bacterial small subunit ribosomal RNA", at positions 12 to 490 of the family's 1533-position model. The record is from RNAcentral. Lineage: Bacteria; Bacillati; Actinomycetota; Actinomycetes. RNAcentral also lists the same sequence under 1 other name.